CUAGCCGUAAACGAUGGGUACUAGGUGUAGGGGGUAUCGACCCCCCCUGUGCCGGAGUUAACGCAAUAAGUACCCCGCCUGGGGACUACGGUCGCAAGACUGAAACUCAAAGGAAUUGACGGGGGCCCGCACAAGCGGUGGAGUAUGUGGUUUAAUUCGACGCAACGCGAAGAACCUUACCAAGGCUUGACAUUGAGUGAAAGAUCUAGAGAUAGAUUCCUCUCUUCGGAGACACGAAAACAGGUGG
RNAcentral lists this ribosomal RNA (247 nucleotides) under uncultured bacterium. RNAcentral describes it as "partial 16S ribosomal RNA". It matches the Rfam family "Bacterial small subunit ribosomal RNA", at positions 796 to 1041 of the family's 1533-position model. RNAcentral also lists the same sequence under 1 other name. The record is from RNAcentral.